Betta splendens (Siamese fighting fish) is the source of this 1478-nucleotide long non-coding RNA. RefSeq lists it as uncharacterized. The transcript is spliced from 2 exons. The record is from RefSeq and is a predicted model, not a curated record. Lineage: Eukaryota; Metazoa; Chordata; Actinopteri; Anabantiformes; Osphronemidae.
UUGACAUCAGGGCCACCUGCAGUCGUGUGUGGGUGGAGACAGACCCCAAGCGCUCGUCAUGCCACCCGACCGGCCCGUGAGAACCAAAACCCGAGGAAAGUGAACUGGAAUCCUGCGUGGUGGCGCCGCCGCCACAUGACGACCAGACGAAGCGCCCCGCGCCCACGGGCGCGCGGGGACCCCGGCGGCUUCGCCGAGUCCCAGCCUGUCCAGCUUGCACGCCGGCUGAAACGCCACAGCCACCACUUCAAAGGUGUCUAGUAAAUGCGACGGAGGAGUUCAAAAGGAAAGCCCGAAUGGCCCGUUUUGAGUAAAUAAAAGCCCGUCCAACACCUGCACGCAGAGGCGAGUGGCCCUUUCUCCAUGUGGGUGUAACAAUAACAUUCAGUAGUACUUGGAAACGAGGUCAAGCUCUGAUCUGGGAGGUAAAUAAGCUGCAUGUUUACUAUCAUGGCUUCUUUCAUUGAUUGCGUUACUAAUCCUAAUAGAGCUGCGUGUGCUGCCUCUUAAGACAAAUGAAGAACGAAGGCGUCCCUGUAUUUACAGUGAUACAGAGAUUCCCUGUAACGUAUGGCGCGGCGGCCACAUGAAAGGACUCAACAACAGCGAGACUGGGAACAAAGGGUGGCGAGCAGAGACAAAACAGUGGAAAGAAGACGGGAGAGGCGGCGAGCCAGGGAGCUCAGGAAUGAGGGGAAUGCCCGGAACUCGGUCUCAGCAUCCAGGCUCGUGAUGCACGCUGUUUGGAGUUACUGGAACUUUCCUGGAGCCUGUUCUGGAGAAUGAGGAAGAUGCUUCUCGUCAGAAGGCCGCCUGCUUUGGCUGCUCACGUCGGAUCCGCGUUUCUUUGGCUGGGAGCUGCAGGAAGCCAGGAGAAGUUGCACCCAGUACCGGUGGAAUGGGCCUUUCUGUCCUCCGGCGCUUGCGUCAUCUUCUUCUCUGUCUGCUAAGCCCUGAGACAAAGGGCUUUCCUGUCAGUCAGAUAAUCGGCAAACAUCACACCCGCUUCCUCCUCCCACCAGGCCCGGCGGCUGCAGGGCAGAGGCCUGACGUGCUGACAGACCCACGGCCGGUCCUCGCUUUUCUUUGGGGGCUGUUGUGACGAGGCGCAAGCCGACUCUUGAGCCGAGUCAGUGAAGGCUGUGAUGAGCAGACGGGUCAGAGAUCAUCACAGUCCAUUAGAGGGGUCGAGCCGGCGGUGACCUGUGUGACUGCACAAACACCCCCGUGUGCACGUACGGACGCUAGUGAGACUGGCUCUGAGUCUGAAAGUGAGUCAGAACAAUAGCAAUGGCAACAUCAGCAUUGCACUGAUCAAUAACAUAACUUCAAGCUGCAUUAAGUAAAUGUAAUUAUGUGCAUGAGUGGGUCUAAACAGCUGCACUGUAAGAAGUACAGUACGUGUGUGGGCGUGUGUGUGUUAGCGAUGUGAGGCAAACAGAAACCAGGUCACUGCACUGGGGGGGAUUCCUCUGCAG